This 388-nucleotide ribosomal RNA is filed under the name uncultured bacterium. Its description in RNAcentral is "bacterial SSU rRNA". It matches the Rfam family "Bacterial small subunit ribosomal RNA", at positions 30 to 414 of the family's 1533-position model. The record is from RNAcentral.
AGUGAACGCUGGCGGCAGGCCUAAUACAUGCAAGUCGAACGGCAGCACAGCAGAGCUUGCUCUGUGGGUGGCGAGUGGGCGGACGGGUGAGGAGUACGUGGGAAUCUGCCCAGUCGUGGGGAUAACGUAGGGAAACUUACGCUAAUACCGCAUGCGCCCUUUCGGGGAAAGCCGGGGACCUUCGGGCCUGGCGCGAUUGGAUGAGCCCAGUCGGAUUAGCUAGUUGGCGGGGUAAAGGCCACCAAGGCGACGAUCCGUAGCUGGUCUGAGAGGAUGAUCAGCCACACUGGAACUGAGACACGGUCCAGACUCCUACGGGAGGCAGCAGUAGGGAAUAUUGGACAAUGGGCGCAAGCCUGAUCCAGCCAUGCCGCGUGAGUGAAGGAGG